UGGGGAAUUUUGGACAAUGGGCGAAAGCCUGAUCCAGCAAUGCCGCGUGUGUGAAGAAGGCCUUCGGGUUGUAAAGCACUUUUGUCCGGAAAGAAAUGGCCCGGGAUAAUACCCUGGGUUGAUGACGGUACCGGAAGAAUAAGCACCGGCUAACUACGUGCCAGCAGCCGCGGUAAUACGUAGGGUGCGAGCGUUAAUAGGAAUUACUGGGCGUAAAGCGUGCGCAGGCGGCGAUGCAAGACAGAUGUGAAAGCCACGGGCUCAAACUGGGAAUGGCAUUUGUGACUGCAUGGCUAGAGUGCGUCAGAGGGGGGUGGAAUUCCGCGUGUAGCAGUGAAAUGCGUAGAGAUGCGGAGGAACACCGAUGGCGAAGGCAGCCCCCUGGGAUGACACUGACGCUCAGGCACGAAAGCGUGGGGAGCAAACAG
RNAcentral lists this ribosomal RNA (428 nucleotides) under uncultured organism. Its description in RNAcentral is "bacterial SSU rRNA". It matches the Rfam family "Bacterial small subunit ribosomal RNA", at positions 355 to 775 of the family's 1533-position model. The record is from RNAcentral.